This 566-nucleotide ribosomal RNA is filed under the name uncultured bacterium. RNAcentral's name for it is "bacterial SSU rRNA". It matches the Rfam family "Bacterial small subunit ribosomal RNA", at positions 28 to 570 of the family's 1533-position model. The record is from RNAcentral.
AACGAACGUUAGCGGCGCGCCUAACACAUGCAAGUCGAGCGAGAAAGGGAGCAAUCCCCGGUACAGCGGCGCACGGGUGAGUAACACGUAGGUAAUCUGCCUCCGAGUGGGGGAUAACCUUCCGAAAGGAGGGCUAACACCGCAUAAGACCACGACUCCGAGAGGGGAUGAGGUCAAAGCCGGCCACUAUACAUAAGCUGGCGCUUGGAGAUGAGCCUGCGGCCCAUCAGCUAGUUGGCAGGGUAACGGCCCACCAAGGCGAAGACGGGUAGCUGGUCUGAGAGGAUGAUCAGCCACACUGGAACUGAGACACGGUCCAGACUCCCUACGGGAGGCAGCAGUGGGGAAUCUUGCGCAAUGGGCGAAAGCCUGACGCAGCGACGCCGCGUGAGUGAUGAAGGCCUUCGGGUUGUGAAAGCUCUGUGGNGGGGAAAGAAUAAGGCAUGGGCUAACAUCCAUGUCGAUGACGGUACCCCUUUAGCAAGCACCGGCUAACUCUGUGCCAGCAGCCGCGGUAAGACAGGAGGGCGAAACGUUGCUUCGGAAUUACUGGGCGUAAAGCGCGU